This 375-nucleotide ribosomal RNA is filed under the name uncultured bacterium. Its description in RNAcentral is "bacterial SSU rRNA". It matches the Rfam family "Bacterial small subunit ribosomal RNA", at positions 917 to 1289 of the family's 1533-position model. The record is from RNAcentral.
GGGCCCGCACAAGCAGUGGAGCAUGUGGUUUAAUUCGAUGCAACGCGAAGAACCUUACCAGGCCUUGACAUCCUCGGAACUUUCUAGAGAUAGAUUGGUGCCUUCGGGAACCGAGUGACAGGUGCUGCAUGGCUGUCGUCAGCUCGUGUCGUGAGAUGUUGGGUUAAGUCCCGUAACGAGCGCAACCCCUAUCCCUGGUUGCUAGCAGGUAAUGCUGAGAACUCCAGGGAGACUGCCGGUGACAAACCGGAGGAAGGUGGGGAUGACGUCAGGUCAUCAUGGCCCUUACGGCCAGGGCUACACACGUGCUACAAUGGCGCGUACAGAGGGGCUGCCAACUCGCGAGAGUGAGCCAAUCCCCUUAAAACGCGUCGU